RNAcentral lists this transfer RNA (77 nucleotides) under Candidatus Allocopromorpha excrementigallinarum. RNAcentral's name for it is "tRNA-Arg". It matches the Rfam family "tRNA". From Rfam's summary of the family: Transfer RNA (tRNA) molecules are approximately 80 nucleotides in length. Their secondary structure includes four short double-helical elements and three loops (D, anti-codon, and T loops). Lineage: Bacteria; Bacillati; Bacillota; Clostridia; Eubacteriales; Eubacteriaceae. RNAcentral also lists the same sequence under 1 other name. The record is from RNAcentral.
GUCUCUGUAGCUCAGCUGGAUAGAGCACCGCUCUCCUAAAGCGGGUGCCGGAGGUUCGAAUCCUCUCAGGGACGCCA